CUUGCUGCUUCGCUGACGAGUGGCGGACGGGUGAGUAAUGUCUGGGAAACUGCCUGAUGGAGGGGGAUAACUACUGGAAACGGUGGCUAAUACCGCAUAACGUCGCAAGACCAAAGAGGGGGACCUUCGGGCCUCUUGCCAUCAGAUGUGCCCAGAUGGGAUUAGCUAGUUGGUGAGGUAACGGCUCACCAAGGCGACGAUCCCUAGCUGGUCUGAGAGGAUGACCAGCCACACUGGAACUGAGACACGGUCCAGACUCCUACGGGAGGCAGCAGUGGGGAAUAUUGCACAAUGGGCGCAAGCCUGAUGCAGCCAUGCCGCGUGUAUGAAGAAGGCCUUCGGGUUGUAAAGUACUUUCAGCGGGGAGG
RNAcentral lists this ribosomal RNA (368 nucleotides) under Salmonella enterica. Its description in RNAcentral is "bacterial SSU rRNA". It matches the Rfam family "Bacterial small subunit ribosomal RNA", at positions 79 to 447 of the family's 1533-position model. The record is from RNAcentral. Lineage: Bacteria; Pseudomonadati; Pseudomonadota; Gammaproteobacteria; Enterobacterales; Enterobacteriaceae.